UGCUAACACUAUGAGAUGGCUUUGCGGUGCAUUAGCUAGUUGGUGGGGUAAAGGCCUACCAAGGCGACGAUGCAUAGCCGACCUGAGAGGGUGAUCGGCCACACUGGGACUGAGACACGGCCCAGACUCCUACGGGAGGCAGCAGUAGGGAAUCUUCCGCAAUGGGCGAAAGCCUGACGGAGCAACGCCGCGUGAGUGAAGAAGGAUUUCGGUUCGUAAAGCUCUGUUGUUAGGGAAGAAUGAUUGUGUAGUAACUAUACACAGUAGAGACGGUACCUAACCAGAAAGCCACGGCUAACUACGUGCCAGCAGCCGCGGUAAUACGUAGGUGGCAAGCGUUGUCCGGAAUUAUUGGGCGUAAAGCGCGCGCAGGUGGUUUAAUAAGUCUGAUGUGAAAGCCCACGGCUCAACCGUGGAGGGUCAUUGGAAACUGUUAAACUUGAGUGCAGGAGAGAAAAGUGGAAUUCCUAGUGUAGCGGUGAAAUGCGUAGAGAUUAGGAGGACACCAGUGGCGAAGGCGGCUUUUUGG
RNAcentral lists this ribosomal RNA (529 nucleotides) under uncultured Bacilli bacterium. RNAcentral's name for it is "bacterial SSU rRNA". It matches the Rfam family "Bacterial small subunit ribosomal RNA", at positions 210 to 732 of the family's 1533-position model. The record is from RNAcentral. Lineage: Bacteria; Bacillati; Bacillota; Bacilli.